This 161-nucleotide non-coding RNA is filed under the name Arboricoccus pini. Its description in RNAcentral is "Arboriscoccus pini 6S / SsrS RNA". It matches the Rfam family "6S / SsrS RNA". Rfam says of the family: E. coli 6S RNA was the first non coding RNA to be sequenced, but its function was unknown until recently. It consists of 184 nucleotides that fold into an extended hairpin structure with a large single-stranded internal bulge. Lineage: Bacteria; Pseudomonadati; Pseudomonadota; Alphaproteobacteria; Geminicoccales; Geminicoccaceae. The record is from Rfam by way of RNAcentral.
UCGGGGCUGCCCGGUUUGUCCGGUAUCCACAUUAAUGCUCUGGGCCUAAUUCGUUCCUAAGGGAGCUGUUCCUGCCCUGACCGUGGUCAGGGCAAACGGCGCCCACCUGCUGAGCAGGUCCCAGGGAUGAGCGGGAUGCAAACGGCCAUGGUGGCUCCACC